Molecule: ribosomal RNA, 165 nt
Filed under: Pleosporales sp.
Lineage: Eukaryota; Fungi; Ascomycota; Dothideomycetes; Pleosporales
Description: partial large subunit ribosomal RNA
Rfam family: Eukaryotic large subunit ribosomal RNA
Source: RNAcentral
CGGCAACAGCUCAAAUUUGAAAUCUGGCUCUUUCAGAGUCCGAGUUGUAAUUUGCAGAGGGCGCUUUGGUGUUGGUAGCGGUCCAAGUUCUUUGGAACAGGACGUCACAGAGGGUGAGAAUCCCGUACGUGGUCGCUAACCCUCACCGUGUAAAGCCCCUUCGAC